RNAcentral lists this ribosomal RNA (492 nucleotides) under uncultured bacterium. RNAcentral's name for it is "partial 16S ribosomal RNA". It matches the Rfam family "Bacterial small subunit ribosomal RNA", at positions 29 to 507 of the family's 1533-position model. The record is from RNAcentral.
AUUGAACGCUGGCGGCAUGCUUUACACAUGCAAGUCGAACGGUAACAGGCCUUCGGGUGCUGACGAGUGGCGAACGGGUGAGUAAUGCAUCGGAACGUGCCCAGAGGCGGGGGAUAACGCAGCGAAAGCUGUGCUAAUACCGCAUGUGAUCUGAGGAUGAAAGCGGGGGACCAGGCAGCAAUGUUUGGCCUCGCGCCUUUGGAGCGGCCGAUGUCAGAUUAGGUAGUUGGUGGGGUAAAGGCCUACCAAGCCGACGAUCUGUAGCUGGUCUGAGAGGACGACCAGCCACACUGGGACUGAGACACGGCCCAGACUCCUACGGGAGGCAGCAGUGGGGAAUUUUGGACAAAGGGCGCAAGCCUGAUCCAGCAAUGCCGCGUGCGGGAAGAAGGCCUUCGGGUUGUAAACCGCUUUUGUACGGAACGAAAAGGCUCUGGCUAAUACCUGGGGCUGAUGACGGUACCGUAAGAAUAAGCACCGGCUAACUACGUG